UCAUCUUGUACUUUUUAAUUCUAAUUUUAAUAUUUUGGACCUGAAGCAAUGGAUGAAUUAAAAUCCUUAAUUGAUUACCCACUAUCAACACUGAAAUGCAUACAGCACUAUUUAUUUAAUAAUAUAAUAAGUAUCUACAAGACUGACACUGAACUCAAAAACUAAUUCAUUAACAACUUAAAUCUACCUAUGUUUUCCUUCUCCAUAAUAUUUCCUUGCAUUCCUACUGGAGGAAAUCACUAUCUUGUUUUUAUGUUUAUUAUUUCCACUAUUUAAAAAAUUAUAUAUGGCUUUGACACACAUAUAUUUUUCCUAUAUAUUUAAACAUUGCUUUUAGAUUAAAAAUAAAGGGAGGCCGGCCCUGUGGCCAAGUGGUUAAGUUUGUGCGUUCCACUUCAGCGGGCAGGGGUUUCACGGGUUCGGAUCCUGGGCGCGGAUACGGCACUGCUGCUCAUCAAGCUGUGCUGAAGCAGCAUCCCCUAUAGCACAAACGGAAGUAUCUACAACUAGAAUAUAUAACCAUGCACUGGGGGGCUUUGGGGAAAAGAAGAAGAGACAGAAAAACAAAAAGAAGAUUGGCAACAGAUGUUAGCUCAGGUGACAAUCUUAAAAAAAAAAAGAAAAAAAGGGUCAUGCUAUAUGUAGUAUUCUAGGACUAAAUAUUAUAGACUUGGAUUUAAAAAUGUUUAAUAUCUACUAACGUAGGGAAACUUGAAUUACAUAAAAAUUUGAACAUGUUUGUGUAAAACGUAAUCCCAAAGGGAGGCAUAUGUUGCCCAAGUAAAAGUUUGUCUAAUUCACAGGCUAUCUUGGGCUGAGGGUCCCUGUUUAGUUUUAUAACAAUUAGCAGUAUCAUCAUUAUUAUCAUCAUUGUAGCAGCUCAUUUUCGUGGGCACCAACUAAAUCCCAAGCUUUGUGUUAAGAUGACUCACUUGCCAUUUUAUUUGAUUCCUCCAUCUUAUCAGGAAAGGAUAAUAUUUCUUUCUGUUUUAUAGAUAUAAAAAGUAUACUUGGCGACAGUAAGUAAGUUUCCCAAAGCCAUACAACCAGCAAAUGGAGGAUCCAGGAUUCAAACCUGGGCAGUCGGAACAAGAGCUGGUUCUCACAGGACAAAUAAACACACAACAGAUUUCAGAGCCCACUUUGAGGCGCUUCUUGUUUCCUACUCAUAAAUGAGAAUGACUUGCCAAAGAAACCAUCCAAGUAAAGUGAAGCGAAGAACCAACUGUCCUUUGGUUUGAGAGAGGUGGCAGAGCAGAGAAGAUGCUAGACUGAGACUCCCAAGUCCUCCAUUCUGGUCCCAAGUCACUAAUCCACCUUAGGACUUUAGGCAAGUAAUUUAACUCUUGAAACACAGUUCCUAUAUGCCUAAAAUGUCUGUCCUGCUCACUUUUAGUGGGUAGUUAUUGGGUUCAAUUGACAGGAUGUAUGGGAAAGUCUGUUAUGAAAUAUAAAGCUCUCUACAAAUAUUAGAUGAAGAGGGGAUUGGGAGAUAAAUUAUUUAUGUUGAGAAUGGAGCUCUUUAUUUAAAGUAAGGGAAGAUGUUUUGUGACCUUUCCCAGGCACCUUCUUUUCCAUCCAUUCUAGUUUUCAUUCUCUUGCCUUGUGAUUUUUUACCUUUUAUUCCUACCAAUGGAUAAUUAAGGGAUUUUCUUUUGAGGGAGGGGAGAGUUCUGAGAAUAUUAACAAAGGAAGGGAGGAACUCAGGCCUUCACUGAUAUAAUUGAUUCAGAUCAGGAUGUGGGCUGAAAGGGUGUGUAAACUCAUUCCCCAGUCAGCAUAUUUAGUGAUUUUAGCAAAAAGUAAAGACACCUGAAAUUCAGAAUGCAUUUCUAGACCCUCACUGCCUAUGGAGGUUUCCAGCUGUCGUCAAAUCGUAUCAUGCGGUGGUUGGAAUUUCAAGUGCUUUUCUGGAACCUCCCACCUUGAAAACUCUGGGCAGCCUCUUCUUGGCACCACAUCAGAGUAAUUUGUAUAUGCUGAUCUCCUGGUGCCUGGGGAGUGAAUGAUGAAAUAUUCAUGCUGGUGACCAUUCAUUUUCCCUCCAGUAAAAGCCUCUGCUAUCAUGCUCUUGAAAGUAGUUAUGAAAUUUGCCUGCUGCUAAAUAUGCCUCUGCUUUUGUGAAAAAACCCAAAUAGAGUUCACAAAAUCAGGUUUCCAGUUUGAACAAGAUGCUUGGAGUGGAUCCUAGAUGAAGUUAUGAGAGUCUUUCCUGAGACCCUCUUUUGUUGUUUUCAAUCCUCCACCCGAGAAUUUGCUUGGCUUUCUGUUCCCGGAGCUUCAUUGUGGUUGGAAAUGUGUCCUUGUCUCAAAGGUUAAUAAGUUUGCCAACCUAAGUGCAAUGCAGAUAUUUUAUAUCUCACUUCCUAACAUCAUAGAUUAUACUGUAACAUCAUAAGUUUGACAUAACUUUGGAUGUCACUGAGGAAUGACAGUUUAGAACUUCUGAAUUAUCCCAGAGGUGGCUCUCAUUUCAAAUUACAAGACCAAAGUUGCAAAAAUCAAAAUUUGACAAGAGGCUGGGCCAAGUAUCCACUGACCCAGAGAGAUGAUUGGAUGGUUGGUUGGAUGGAUGGACAAGUGGAUGGAUAUUUUCGACAUUUGGUGAUGCUCUAAAUGGAAUCUUUUCAAAUUUCUUGUCAAAGUGUAGCAUAUUCACAGAUUUUACUCACAGUAGGAUGCUGCCACAGCAUGGUGUGAUGAGUCAUGUGUGGGUCUGUGCCUGGGAUCUGAAUCCAUGAACCCUGGGCCACUGAAGUGGAGCAUGCGAACUUAACCACUAUGCCACCUGGCCGGCCCCAGGACAUACGUAAUUUUGAUGUGUGGGUGCGCUUCACGGAAGGACAUGAAUUGUUAAGUGCCGUACGCGGCUCCAAGCCACAGGGGCAGUGUAAUGCAGACUGAGGCUCUCAGGACUGGCUUCCUGGGGCUGCAUGUGUGGUGCUUCAAAGAUGCAGGGGAGGAAGAACGGGGUCACCAUAUUUAAACACCCCAAGUAUAAACAACAAUGCUCACCACCAUUCCCAUUAUUCAGUGAAGACUAUUAAUAAACAUUCAAGUUAUAGAAACUAAUAUACAAGCAGAAUUGAGCAAAUUAGGUAGGCAAAUGGGAAAACUGGACUUCUUUCUCCAAUUAACCACCAAAUGUUGGAUAUUAUCUUGAUAUAAAUAGACUACAUAUCCAGCCUUCAGAAUUAAGACUUUCUUUCUUUCUUUUUUCCUGUGCAUCUAUCUAGAUAACUUUAAAGAUUAUUGUUGCUAAUUCCCCAUAUUCUUUUUGCUUAUAGCCUUUUAGAAUACCUAAUCAGAACUCAUAGUGGUCCCUUGGUAAAUAAAAGUGAGGCAUAUUGGAAUUGUUAAAAAGAAUUACUGGUCUUGGUUCUAACAAAUGUAAGAUGAUCAGAAAUUACUGAAGGUGCAUCAUAUUUUGUGUGUCACGUAAGAUAUAUUAUUUUGGAAAAGACAGACAUCAGAUGCCCCCUCCCUCCUCAUCCUGCCCUCAGCCCCCACGACCACACAGGUGCUAUACAGGUAGAAGGAAAGGUUCCUGUGAUCUAUAUAAAGUAGGUGAAAAUGUAUUCCUUUGAGAUGAGCUUGAAGUAUUACAUUGACCUUUCUCCUGAUAAGUCCCUUGGCUUCACAGGUGUAGCAUUUCUCUCUUGAUACUACACACUGACAUUUUAACAAUUACAAUGGGACUUCCCUGAACUGGGAAUAUUGUGAGUGCUACAAUUCUUAGGAUCUUGUCACCCUUCACCACCCUGGAGAGGGGGAGAGAGAUUCUCUAUUCCGUUAUUAACAAUUUUUCAUAGUGGGUGGAGAUCCUAAUGUGAUUGGUAAGCUUGAUGUAUUCAUGGGGCCACAUUUUACCAGUGGGUCAGGUCAGGUCUCAGAGUUGGAGUCAGCUUUGAGGACAUCAAUUUAGGAUAGAGGAAAGUCUGAUUUAGCUUUGCAAGCCUAAGUUUAACUCUACAGCAACACAUUCUAAUGAACACCCACAGGCCGUGGGCAGGGGCUGUUCAUUGUGUAUUUGCUCAGUCAUUAAGAAACUAGUUAUUGUUCUAGUGUUUAUCACCCCUUCAGCAGAAUCAGGGAAGGGAGGAGGUGUGACUGGCAGGGGUGAUAAACUAAAAUCGCCAUAGCAAAGUAGAGAAGGGUUUUGGACUAUUAUGAAUCCUUAUUUCCUUGAAGCGUGAUGGCGAUAAUGCUUUGUCAACCCUUGUGAUGCCAGCAGGCAUUCUGAGUUCUAUAAAGUUUUCUAUGAUUCAGGAAGCCAGACUAAUUUCUGUCUUCACAAUGUUACCCCAUAACUACUGGGUUGGUUCUAUUUCUGGUAUUACAGACACUUGAAGAUAUAGACAGGAAUAGACUAAGACUCAAGUUCUGGAUACAUUUACAGUCUAUUUGGGGAAAGAAGACAAAAACAUAAAAUAAAUAGAAUACAAGGCAGCAUUCGUUAGCUUUCAGAUGAGUAGAAGAAAAAAAUGUGUUGUAACUGUUCAAAGGGGUGGGUGGCAUUUGUGGACUGGUGUGGGGAGGAAAAGUCUGAUCCACGGAAGACGGGCAAUAAUUGAUAGAAUUCAACUAGGCAACUAGCACACACCAUUGGCGGGAGUUUAAACUGGUACAGCCACUUAGGAAAGCGAUUUAGCAAAAUCUCUUAAAAUUGUUUAUGGGCACAAUUUUCCAUCCAGCAAUAGUUCUUGUUAGAGGCUACCCUGGGAAAUAUUCACACGCUCACACAAGGAGACAUGUCUGAGGAUGUUAACGGUAGCGGUGGAUAUAGCAGUGCACACUGGGAACAACCUAAGGGAAUAAGCUCACAUGUAGCCGCAUCACAGAAUCCUCUGUGGGUUUGAAAAACAAUCAGAUCACUCUACGUUAAAAACAUGGAAAAACAUCCAAGAAACGAUGUUAAAUAAACAAAGUCACAUGCAAUCUGAUCUUACUUAGGUUUAGAAAAACAUAAAAUAACAUGUAUGUAAAUGAAAAUACCUAGAAAAAGUAGGAGGAGACGCACUAAAUUGUUGGCAUUGGAUUCGUUUAGGUAAAGACCUCGGACUGGGCAUAAGUUUAAAUGGGAUAUAAGCUUUAGCUCAAUAUGUAUUUACAUUAUUCAGAUAGUUAAAUUUUUAUGAAACAAUUUUUUUUAUGAAGAGUUCAAAUAGACAGAAGGAGAAGCUAGGAAGAGCUUCUCUGGUGCAGGAAGCAGUAAGGUAUCUGAGAAAAUACGCAAAUGUGUGUCCACCCCCUCAAAUAAUCCUUAACUCCUUGUUGCCCACCCUUCCAGUCUAGCUCCUCUCAGGUUUUGCCGUCUAAAAGGCAAACGUGACUGAGUUACUCCCCUGCGUAAAAGGACAAAGAUCGAACUCAACAUGCCAUCCAAGGGCGUCAGGAAUCUGACCUUAUUCUCCUCUCCAGUUCAUUUCUCUCCCAUCGCUUUCCUGCAUCUUCAACUCCAGCUAAACCAAAUCACUUGCAGUUUUGUGCCUAUACCACACUAUCUGUACCUCCAUUAUUUGCCCAUGCCCCUGGAAAGAUGCUCUCUGCUUCUGCCACCUAGUAAUCCUCAAGGCUGUCAAGUCCCAUGUGAAGAUUUUCCUAAGAGCAUCACCUCUCUCACUGUGAAUUUCCAUCUCCUUCCUUUUUGCCUGCAUUUUAGGCUGCAGGCAAAAUACUUCUAUUACCUACAUCACUGUCUUGGACUUAUUUUUCAAUGCCCAAACUUUAAUAAACUUUGGUGGUUUAAAUUCUUUGAGUAGGGGCUACAUACGGCAGAAAUUCAUUCACUUACUCCCGCUUUCAUUUAAAAAACAAUUGAGUGCCUGUUACAUUCCAGGCAGUGUGCUAGGUGCUGGAGAAUGCAAAAUUGAGGAAAACAUGAUCACAUCCUCAAGAAUCUUAUAAUCUAGAGGUAAAGGAAGAAAUGAAUGGAGAGGUUAAAAGAAAAAUUAAGAUGAUGUUAUGCCAUGGGGAGGGGUACUUCGCAAAAGAGGACGUGGUGGACAUUUGAUGUUGCUUUGGCUGCCUACUUCCAUUCCUCCCAUUUCCUAAUAGUGCCUGAUUUUCCUACAGGAAGGACUUCACUAGAUUAUGUCUGGCUCGCCCCAGCCCAACAGAAGGCAAGUAUUCCAAGCAAGACCGGACACCCUGUUCACUCCUGCCAUUAUCAUCUUGAGUAGAGGUACACGAGGACAAAUGUUUUGGUCACUUCCAAGGCAACAGCAGCUCCAGACUGCGCCAGCCAAGUAGUUUCUGCAAGUGUUUCUUUUCCUGUCCUGCUUCCAGCCCCAGUCUCCUGCUUCUCUCCAUUCUGUGAGGUAUCAGGCAUCCAAUCAUAUUUCUCUUUUUGCUAUAAUUUCCCAGGGAGUUAGUUUCUGUCAUUUGUGAUCUGUAACUCUGAUACCCUGGGCAAGCAGUAGCCAAUGCCACAGAGUAGUCAAAGGUUCAAAGCCUGAAUAACAGCAUUUGGAUUCCAUAUAGAAGGUCUCAAUGCAAUUCAGGUUUGAAGUUGGGUCAUAGGUUGAUUACAGGGGUGCAGCCAGCGCUGCUCAUCCCACCAUGCCUGACUGUUCUUUCUCUUGUGGUUAGUUGCAUUUUUGAAGAUUUGGAUAAAGAAGGAGAUAAUGAAUUCCAAGGAAUUAAUUUCUCCAUAGGCUGAAUGGACCUAUUGGUAGCUGUCAAAGUCCACUAAUAUAUGAGUCAUUUUUAUAGAUAGGAACAACCUGGAGCCGGCAAGCUUGCUUUGUAAGCCUUUCUUAGGUGCUGAAUCUCUUCAGAAUUUGUCUUACCUGAGCAAGAGUUUUUUUUUUUUUUUUUCAAUUGGCUAGUUUAUUGACUUGGGCUUGUUUUGGGAACCAGUCAACGAUUAAUAUGGCUUUUAAAUGCCUCAGGAAUUCAAGGAGAUGGAAGAUGUCUGGGUCCCUGAUUGACUUCACGGAACAAACCUUUCCCCACUGCUCACUUCUGACAUAAGCAGAUGGCUUGAGUGAGCCAUCCAGUCUUACACUUUCCUUCUUUGCACUUGUACCUGAGGGCAGGACGGUGGCUGAGGCUCUAUAUAAGUUCAAGUUUAGUUAAGACAAAAACACCUGUAAAUUAAUCAUUUAGUUCCCUAUUAAGUGUUGAUUAUCAGUGAGAAUGGAGACACUUUGUUUUGCUAGGUGAGCUCCCUCCGAACUGCCUGUCUCAGAGGUGAUCCAUCAAAGUACUUCUCCUCUAGGAAACAUUGUCCAAUCCUACUUCCGACCAGGUAUGAUUUUUCCUCCCCCUCCUCUUGACCCUCCUGCCCUCCACUAAAUUGUCAAAGCACUUUUAUGGUGUUGAGGUUAAGUGCUCUGACUUUAGAGGCAGAGAGAACUGUGGUUCAAAUCUAUGGCUCUGCUGCCUCUGUGCUGUGUGACCUAGGGAAAAAUUCUUCACUUCUCUGAACCUCAUUUUUGUCCUCUACAAAUUUGGUAUAAUAACUAGCUCAUAGUGUUUACUUUGAAGACGAAAUAAGAAAACAGACGUUAAAGGAACAUAGUUGGCCAUGUAGCAAUUUAGUUAUUGAUGGUUGUUUUUGAUGAUUAUUAUUUAUGUAUUCAUUGUUGAUAAUAUUCGUUAACAAUCUCUUUCACAGCACUUACCAAAAUCUAUAAUAUUCUUGUUUAUUUGUUUUCUCCCCCAGGAGAACAUAAAAAGCUUUAUUCUUGUGUGUUUUGUUCAUCAUUGUAUCCCAAGUAUACAAAACAAAGUAGGGCAAAUAUUUGUAAGAUAAGCUUUUGCAAGUGCUGUUAUUCUAUUAUUCUGCCUCAUGUUAUUGCUGUUCUAGACCACGAGGCCGACAUUAUUCAUGCACGCAUGCUGAGAACCUAGCACAGUGUUUGGAAGAGCGUAGACACGCAGCAUCUAUUAUUAAAUGAAUGAAGAAACUAAAGCUGCAUCUGUCCCAAUUAUCCUUCUAAUUAGAAACUUUCUUCAUGACAGACACUGUGGCUUAUCUUUGUAUCCAUGGAACCUAAUAGGUGUCCAGUAAACAUUUGCUGAAUUUGUUCUGUGAAAAUUGAGAGGAGAGAUUUGUGACUUCAUUACAGAAUUGCAAUGAGCUGAGUUCAUUUCUGCCAGUUCUUCUAUGUUCUGUCUGCCUUGGUUUAUUUCUGGUCUCUAUUGUGGAACCUGGUGUGAGAAUCUAACAACAGGAAGACAAGAGGGAUUAAGAUUAACUCAAUAAGUACUGAAUGAUUGUUCCCAAUAAACCAACAAUAGUCCUUCCUAAUUCCUAUUCAGCCCCCACAACUGCAUCAUGGCAGGUGAGAGAAGUCAGUCACAUUCUGUCCCCGCUUCUUCAGCCGUCAUGAAUAUGCCAGUGAAAAACCAGUAGUGUCGAGGACAGACCAGAAGGCGUAGAUAACUCCCGUAAGAGGGGACCCGGAAGGAGGGGCUGGCUUUCACUGGGAGCGGUGGUGCUAUAAUAGGCUGAUUAUGUAAACACAUGAGUCUUGGGCCCUUUUAAACACCAGCUCAUUUAGCUGCUCUCUUUCCCACAAAAGACUGCUUUCUGUCACUGUGCAGGGUGGAAAGGAAGGGAGAAGUCUGACAUCAAAGGGAGCUGACUGCUCCUUUCAGCAUCCGGGACAAUUCCUCUGAUUGCUUUACCCACCAAAUGGCUCUCCCUUCACCAUCAAUGGGUAGGACCUGGCUAAUGCUCUCCGGUCAAGACAUUGCCCAGGAGUAACCAACAAUGUCCACUAGAAUGAGGAACAGUAAUUGCAAAAAUGAGCUGCCUGAAUUAAUAACCCAAUUAAUACUUAACUUGCAAUAACUAGUUAACUCUCACCCUCUCUUACUCCUUUGAACAGGCACCUUAGAGCAGGAUGACCUGAAUGACAUUGUAAUCCCAUUGAAUGAAAUUGUAAUCCCAAUUCUGCUAGGCUCCAGGAUCACUACAAAGGUCCCUUACUAGUUGUGUGACUUUGAAAAAGUCGCUAAACCUCUCUGGGUCUUAGCUGUAAAUAUAAUGUUAUACCUGCCUGAAGAUGCCAGGCUUGGCUUGGUCUUUUGAUGUCUCUUGCGCCUCUCACGUUGUCAUACCAUGAAAACACUCCGGAUAGUCCCAGUCUAGAGUAGUUGUGGGGGGUUAAAUGGGGACAUAUUGGUGAUAUUCUCAGUUGACCCCACUCUCCUUUCAAAAUUUUCCCCAAAAUGUUGGUUAUGUGGAGAUAUAAAGAAACAUCAUGUCAGAGCCACAUGCAGGUUGAUAAAAAGUAAAAAAUACAGAAGGGCUCUGAACAAGUCCUUGCAGCAGUGUCCUCUCAGGUGGGAACCAGAGAACCUAAAAGGUGCUUGAAUGACAAGUACAGGCACAUUUGUAGCAGUGUAAUCUUAACAGCCUGCAACUGGUGGUAACUCGUGUCCACCAAUGUAAGAAUGGAGUGAGAAAUUGUGAUGUAUUAACACAACGAGGUAAUGAAAGGAACAACAUGGAUCAAUCUUACAGACGUUGGGCUGUGUGAAAGGAAGACGGGGGGCGUUUUAGAUAUUGACUUGAAUAUUGACUUGGCUGUGGGGUUAUAGAAAUGUUCUGUAUCUUGGUCUGGUGGUAGGUAUUUGAGUGUUUUUAGGUAUAAAAAAUCACCAAGCUAUAUACUUAAGAUUUGUGCACUAAAUGUAUGUUACAUCCUCAUAAAAGUAUGUGUAUGUAUACAUACUGAUAAUUAUUCAGUAAUUUGGAAUAUAUAUGCACGUGUAUAUACAUAUAUAUGCAUACAUGUAUAUGUUUUCUUUUUCACAUGGAGGGAAAUAUAAAGAGGAAUAAAGUGGUCUCAACAAAUCCCACAGUAGUAUUACCAACAAGAAAGGGCAUUUGGAUUUAGAUGCUUAGAGGCUCGAUUACAUUUAUUGUUAUUAGGAAAUUAUUUCUGAGGAAGGCCAACCCCUACUAAAUUGCUAAUCAGUCUCUGACUAGUGCCCCUGAGGUGCACUAUGAGUCAAAUGAAAUUUAUUGUGACAGGAUCGAAUCGUAUUGACAUCUCAGUAGCGGUCUCUGUGCCUCAUCAGUUAGCACAGGAAAGAGUAUAGGAAAUAUCAAUCACAGAAGCUCAUUCAGAACCAUCUUUUAAAACGUGGAAUCUGUGUGCUAAAAACACAGCGAAGUUCAUUAAUUAGGAGGUGGUGGAUGCCUCUCUGUUUUUUUUUAAAUCAUAUGAUUUGAUUUAUCUUUUGACUCAUAAUUUAAGGCCACAAAAGAAAAUUAUUAUCAGCAACAAUUUUUUUCAAACUUUUAAAUGUAUGUAGAUCUAGAACUUUCCCGUCCUCAACUUUCUAAAGAAACACAGAAUGCUUUUUCUCAGGAGGAAUACUUUGUAGAAAUGCUAAGAAAACAACGUAUUUUUCCCAAUAAAGAGCCUUUUUGCCAUUCCUCAGGUUAGUGUUCAACUCAUUGUAUGUCCACAAAGAAAGGCACCACAAUUGCACUGAGGUUAUGGUGCGAGGAAAUAAAACUGUUUUUAAGGUAAUUCUUUGCUGUUCUUUGAUACGAAAAAACCUUCAGAGGGGAUUGAUCCCCAUCGUGUUUUACAAAUGAGGAAGCUGAAGCCAGAGAGGUAGUCACCUGCCCGAGGUCAUCCAGUUAGGGUGGUUCUCAAAGCACCCUUCCGGGACCAGCAGCCUCACUAUCACCCUGGAACGCGUUAGGAAUGCUAAUUCCCAGUCCCUACCCCAGACAUGCUGAGUCAGAAGCUCUGAGGAUGGGCCCAGCAAUCUACGGUUUAACAGGCCCUCCAGGUGGUUUGAAUACAGCUAAAAUUUGAGAACCGUUACCAGUUGUUAGAGGGGAAAAUAAAAGUUUAACAGCGAGAACCCACUUCUCUUCGCUGGAAGUCCUAUUUUUCCAUAACUCCUAGUGACAAAGCCAGAAAUAGAGCCCAGUAGGAAACGGAAACUUAUUCCCGACCACAACUUAGACAAUCUCAGAAAACUCUUAUUAUUUAUAUUGCAUUAAGGGGGCCUUUGGGGGAAGCUGGGCUCCCCACACUAGUAACAAUAGGAUUGUAGGCAAAAAGCGAAAUGAAUCAAUUUAGUGAAAUCUUUUUAGAUAUGGGAAGUGCACCUUAUUUUUAGUGAUUUUUGACUGGGGUACUCAAUAUUUACAAGGAUUCCUUAUAGAAUAUAUGUAGGCUCCUCUAGAGAUCUAAAAUGCUUAUUCCCAGUGCAAUUCAUGCUUCGCUGGUUUUGCUUUACCGGUGUGAUCUUUGGAAGCCUAUGGGCCAAACUCCUUGUCCUUUUCUUGGGUCUCUCCCAGAGCUCACAUAUGGAUGACAGGCAGGUGCCCAGAAUGAAUGGAAGACAAGCAGCAAUGUUCUUGAUAACUGGGAACCACAGGCCCAUCUAAAGGGGACAGUUCUUUCUCACUUCUGGCCAGUUGUUGCCGCAUUGGAAUACAGACUUAGCAUUGUCAAAUCUUCCAGCUUUUCAUAGGGACCAGAAAUCUGAUUUUUCGGGGGGAAAAUUCCAGGUUUUUAAAUGUUAGCAAUAAGUUCAUAUUUUUAGACACCAUGCAUGCCAAAUACAAUGUACGUGUGGGCCACAAUUCGUGACCUCUGCUAUAUAGUAUAUAACACACUGUGAGUGAGUGAUGGUCAGAUUUGGCCAGAGAGCACUCUCUACCUGGAGUUAAGGCAGGUAGUUGUUAACUUUGAGAGCAUAGCCUCAGUUUACUAAAACUUUCCACCAGAAAUGCCCUGGCCCUGGCGAACAUGCAGACGUUAUAGUGUGACCAUAUGUGGGUUUCAGGAUGGGUUAGACCUUGUCUUCCUCUGUGACCCUUACUCUAACUAGUCAACACCACUUUUUUGGGGUUUCUUCUUUUCUGAACUUUUCAUAUCACUCUUAGGCCAGUUUGAUGUUACUCUCUCUGACACCAUUUCUAACAUCAUCGUCACAAACACUUAAGGGAGUUGGAGUUGACAGGCGCAUUAGAAGUGCUCUGGGCCAGGUGCCUUACUUCCAUGUGAGGUGACACAGGUGAGAGUAAAUGCAAUGACCAGACUGGGAUCAACAACUAGUUAUGGCACAGCAGUAGGUGUGGAACCUGGGACCUGAGUCUAAUUCCUGGUUCUUUACAGCUGGUCAUGCAGUGCCAUCUGCUCUGAAGGGACUGUUGACCCUUCAGAGAUGCAGGAAGGGGGUCCAGAUUCGGAAGACCUCCAAGCCAUUUAGCGUCAAUUUCUGAUGCACACAGUGAAAAACAAUAACAAUCCAAUAACCCUACCCCCACUGAGGUGAUGGACUAAUAAGAAGAUAAUACUAGCUUUCCAAAAGGAAAUGCAUUAUUUAAAUUACCAUCAAUUUCCAGCUUAUUUAUUGUCUUCUAUGCCAUAAUUUUGUUCAGUGAAACACGAUAAAAUAGUAUAUAUUGGUAGACGCUGAAAUGUAGUAUCACCACAUUGUAAUACUUUUUCUGUGGGGAGAUUUUAGUUACUGUUCGUUUCCUGAUAGGUUCCUUCGUGGAGUAAGAGUAGUUGGUCUUACAUACUGCACUUUUUAAUAGUCAUUUUAUUAUUUUUAAUUUAAAAAUUAGCCUCUGAACUAUGAAAUCUAAUUUCUAAAAGGGAUAUAAAUUAUUAUCUACUUCAGUGUCUUCCAAACUUUCAGCUGGGGAAUCUAUUCUUCAAGUGAAAUGUUUUGAGGCUGCCCGAUACAUACACAGAGCUGAAGCAAUAGCGAGGGUUCCAGAGCCUCUCCCGCGACAACUUCCCCUAAUGUUCUUUCUUAGACAGUUUUGCUGCAUAAACCCCCACAAUCUUGGUAGCUUACACCAACAAGCAUUCGUUCUCAUGAGAUUCUGCUGAUCUAGGCCAGGCUUAGCCAGGUGACUCUCCUUCAGACUGUCAUCUGGGCUGGGCUUCAGGUUGUGGGUUGGACUCAGGUCUGCUCUUCCACAUGUCUCAUGUGUGUCCUGGGUUAAAGGGGCAGGCAAUACCAGGGAGAAGCUGUUCUUAUGGCAGAUUAUGAAGUUUAAGAGGGCAGGCUCUACGCCAGGCACGUUUCAAGCCUCUGAUCACAUCAUAUCGACUAGCGUCUCAUUGAUCAAAAUAAUUCCCAUGGCCAAGUCCGGACUCAAGGUGCAGGGAGGAGCACCCUACUCACCAUGAGAGUGCUGCAAAGGUGUGUAUACACAAUUCUAUUCCAGGAGAAUGGAGAAUUUGGACCAUAAAUUCAGUCAACCAUGUAUGUAAUCCUACCCCUUGGUGAUCUCUGAGUCAACUCUGUGUAACUCAUAAAACAACAUCAAGCAGUUCAAAAACCAUGCAUAGAGUCCAACCAUCUCAUUUUACAAAUGGGCAAAAUUGAGACUAGUGGUUCCUCAACGCCACACAGCUAGAGACAGGUCUUGAACGCUGAUGAACUGACUCAAAGUUCAGGACUUUCUCCACCACACUGUAAUAGCUCUACCUUCAAAAAAUGGCCGAGUCACUUGAAUUAAAUAGCAAUAUUGUAGAUAUAAUUUUGAAUAUACUGAGCUGUCUUAAUUUUGCUGGUUGGUCUAGAAGUCUAUUUAAUACAGAGACCAGAAGAUGGCCUGAGCACAGUGCAGGAAGUUGGGCCACAUUCCUCCAAGAUCUGGCAUUUAGUGACCCUGUAACCUUGCACACACUAUUUGCUUCUUUAAGCAUCUUUUCUAACAUUUGUCAAAUAGGAUAAUAAUGAUGCCCUCAGACAGUCGUUGUGAGAAUUAUCUGAUACUCAAUAAUUGUGAGGGUUUGUUUUUCCAUUUUUUAUGGUUUAUCAUUCAGUAACCAAGAGCUAUGCCUUCCUUUUCUUGUGCACUGUUAGGAAACUGAAAUAUUGUUUUUCAAGAGGAUAUCCUCCUUAUUGAAGACAUAAAUAUUACAGAAAGAAGGUUAAUCACUUCUCCAUGUAGAAAAGGGCAAAAAGGUCAGUCUCUUUGCCCAAUUCCCAAGGUUUUUCUAAUAUGGAAUUGCCUAAGAUACCAGCAAAAUUGAAAUAACUGCUUUGAAGUCGAAUUCCAGAUACAAUAUGUGUUUAGUAAUUCCUGUAACAGACAGCAAAAUUCAAAAGGCUUUAAUAAUUUAUUCUGAGUGGAAUGCUUAAAGGCCAUUUGGUCAGCAGGGUGCCUACUGGACAUGUAGCUGGUGUGCUUUCUCCAUUUUUUCUUGGUGGUCAGAUGGCAUGAUCAGAACCUCUGUGACAUGUUUGUCUUACUUAAAUCUUUUAUCACCUUGCAUUGCUCUUUUAUCUUGAAACUAGUACUUUUCCUGCCAUGAAAAUGUAUCUAUUUAUUAGUCUGUCAAAAUGUCUAUAAACAUUAGAUUGCUUUUGAAGAGCAAAUGCCUAAUUUGUGGAAAGAAAAUGUUUAAAAACGCUUCCCCCGUAACUUCUUUCUGUAAAAAUUUUGAUAAAUGUAAUUGUGUUCAUAGGGUAUAUUAACACCAACCAGGUGUAGUAACUUAAAUUAUCUGGUGAUUGAAAUAUUUUGUGAAAAUCACUCUAUUGGCUAAAAUAAAAGUCAUAAUGGAGAUUCCUAUAAAUGCAUUUCCUCAAAAUACAAAUAUAUGGCUCAAUAUUUUGCAAACAGUCAUGUAUCCCGGCUGUUUAUAGCAUCUGCUACCUUGAAUUAUGUAGUUCAAAUAUAGCUUCUCUUCCACCUGGGAAUUUCCAGAGAUCCUUUUUUCUUUCUUGAGCUCAAUAACAAAACUUCACAUAAUGUUGGGUAGAAGGCUAUCUAGAGAGUUAUUUGAGUAUAGAUAAUAUUUGUAACUAUACAGACACUCUGGCUCAUAGUCUGUGUUAUACUAAAAGAGGAGCUCUACUAAGAAAUUCGAGGAAAGGGGAAGAUUUGAAUCCAUUUUCAAUAUUGGUACUUUCUGCCCCACCAUAUUCACAUGUACUUCUCCAUUCAUUUAUUUGCUACCUUUCAUUGGCCCCACUGGAUCUAUUUAUCAGAAUAUUCUUCUUGGUGUUCCAUGACUAU
RNAcentral lists this long non-coding RNA (14974 nucleotides) under Equus caballus (horse). RNAcentral's name for it is "lncRNA (ENSECAG00000049681.1)". Lineage: Eukaryota; Metazoa; Chordata; Mammalia; Perissodactyla; Equidae. The record is from RNAcentral.